CGCGCCUGCCAAGCAUGGCGUCGUCGCGGCCGUUGCCCCCGCGAUCCCCUUCCAUCGACCUGCCAAGCAUGGCAUCGCCCCGGCCGUUGCCACGCCCGCCGCACACGCCGCGAUGAGAUCCUGGACCCCCCGCGACAUCCUCCUCCACCGCGCCAUGGCCGCCCCCGACGUCCUCGCGCGCCGCUCCCCGAGGUGGGCAUGGUGCGCACGACCAUCGCGGGGGUCACGACGGCGGCGCGGUUCCAGGAGCUGGUGGACUGGAUGGAGGAGUGGAAGGCGGCGUUCAGGGACAACAGCAAGUGGACGGAGACGGUGAACCUGGGGCUCGGGAGCCUCGCGCUCAUCAUGUCCGGGCUGCUUCCGUUCGCCAUCGACGGGGACCUCGGGUUCGGGAAGCCCAGCCUCGUGCUACCCUGGGUGCGCCAUGGCCGGCUGGGAUCCGCGUCCGUGAUGGUGGUGCCCUGCCCCAGCGGCGACAUGUCGUGGUUCUUCGGCGGCACCAGGAUGUGGCUGCGGCUCAUGGAGGUGGUCGAAUCCGACCCUUUGAUGAAGCAGACAACGAACCUGGGAAUGGCGACAGAGGCGGGAUCCCGUCUGUGACUGUGAGCUCGCGCUGGCGGUACCUGCCAUUACGGUGUACGGGUAUCAUCGCCAUCAUCAUCCAGAUCCAGGACAUUUCCGGAUAGAUGACAUAAUCUGUUCAUCUCAAAUGCCACAACAUUCGUGGGCACAUGUUGCCUUGUUGGCUUCAUUUAGCUCGCCCGACAUCAUAUUUUAGCAACUAUCUGUCAUAUAUAAUCUACUAAAAUGGUUUAUUUUUUCAUUUACUCUUAUACUCUCAUUUUUCCAACCAGGACUUCUGAGCACAUGGAAGAUGAAGGAGACGUUGCAACUCCUUUACACUUUCCAAAUUUUUAUUAAAUAUACCAAUAUCACGAGGUGAACCUUCGAGUUUAGUGAUUUUUCAUAUCCAUGGUUUGCAGGCAAGUAAACUUAUUACAUAUAAUCCAUUGAACUUCAUGUCUUGGUUUGUCCAAUUCGACAUCGAAGGGCUCGCCAUGUGGGGUGACGUCGACGGGGCUUCACCUGUCCUAUUCUAUCAUUAUUGUGAUUACUGACUAUGCCAUUGUUUGUGCUACUGCUGCUUAUGCUUGCAGUGCCACAAAGGCAAGCGAACCUUUGAUUUGGUCCAUGUUCUGGUCUAACCUUGUUGGGUCCACACUCCAUGGGUCACUUUCACAUUACUACUACCAUAUCUGUGAGCUGCGGAGAAGAAAAAGGUAUCAAAUAUCAAGCAGCUUUACGGCAGCGAAGGAUCAUUCACUAUGAGUGGAUAUUAAACUGUUGCAAGGAAAACAUCUUCAUUUUCAUCCUAGAUAGACUUUUAGUCCUUUUUUGUCACCCCUCAAGGGACUAGAGACUAAAAGGGUUUAGUCCUUCAUAUUUGGAAAUUUGGUAGUCUGAUGCAUGCACAUUCGAUCUGUCUCAUCAGUGACAUGUAUCGCUUGUCAUUUGAUGAAAAUGGAAGUUGAACGAUCAUUCUCUUUUUGGGCACUGCUGAAGGUGAUGUUGUUCACCCAACUGAGUGUAUGCCCCAGCUGCUUGAGCAAGUUCGGCAUCACAAAGCGAAUAUCGAUUGCAAUGAUUAUAUUGUCAUGGUGACUACAUUGGUUCUUGAGGUUGAGGAUUUGUCUACACAACAAGUGAAUGAUAAGCUCCUAGAAGCUGUACAACCUUAAGCACUCGAGCAAUGGAGCAAUGUGGUAUGAUGAGAGCAUAGGAGGUUUGUCGAGAUGAGGUCGAAACAUGGCCCCAAUGUAACUAGACCAGAGCAAUUGACAAUCUAGGCAAUAUCCGCUAUCUGGUCCAUUGUUUCUCUCGUGGGUCCAUUGUUUCUGUCGUGGGUCAGACGUCUUCGACGUGAAGAGAGGUUGUUUUGUCAUUUCCACAUUCUGAAGCGUAAUGUAGUGCAGUGGACGCAUAUAGCUACUACGUAUGUUAAAGUUGUAUUUUUUAUAUCUCAUAUUAGAUGUAUUUACU
This is an RNA transcript of Zea mays, 2040 nucleotides long. It is a transcript of the gene named ribose-phosphate pyrophosphokinase pseudogene, with no coding region annotated. The record is from RefSeq and is marked validated. Lineage: Eukaryota; Viridiplantae; Streptophyta; Magnoliopsida; Poales; Poaceae. The transcript is spliced from 8 exons.